GGGGGUGAAUAGGAUCGACAGGGAUCGUUUGUCUGAAGGCCGCAGGCCCUGGUUGGUCGGAGCCAGGAUAAAAGCUGACCAAAACACAAAAGCCAACUCACCGUUGGCCUGGGCCACUGCCUAACAAGCAGUAAGUCCACGCCGGUCCCCAACACCUGCUAGGGGAGCGCCGGCGUCAAUCAGCAGGCUGGGAGCCGCGCCGCGCGCUUCGUCGGCGCGGUUCCGAGAACACACGGAGCUGGCCUCGGGAUACUCGUCCGGCGGUUUUCCCGGGGCGAGACCAACGUCGGACUAAGCCUGUAGUGGCCCCAGAGGGCGGUUCUUGGACGCGGGUGCGAAUCCCGCCACCUCCACCA
Molecule: transfer-messenger RNA, 356 nt
Filed under: Elusimicrobia
Lineage: Bacteria; Pseudomonadati; Elusimicrobiota
Also listed under: 2 other names
Description: UBA10166 sp001799695 Standard tmRNA
Rfam family: transfer-messenger RNA
About the family: Bacterial tmRNA, also known as 10Sa RNA or SsrA, is named for its dual tRNA and mRNA-like properties.
Source: RNAcentral